CCUACGGGUGGCAGCAGUAGGGAAUAUUGCUCAAUGGGGGAAACCCUGAAGCAGCAACGCCGCGUGAGGGAUGAAGGUUUUCGGAUUGUAAACCCCUUUUGUUAGAGAAGAUAAUGACGGUAUCUAACGAAUAAGCCCCGGCUAACUACGUGCCAGCAUCCGCGGUAAUACGGAGGGUGCCAGCGUUACUCGGAAUCACUGGGCGUAAAGGGGGCGUAGGCGGGAUAGCAAGUUAGGUGUGAAAUCCUAUGGCUUAACCAUAGAAUUGCAUUUGAAACUGGUAUUCUAGAGUAUGGGAGAGGUAGGUGGAAUGCGUGGUGUAGGGGUAAAAUGCGUAGAGAUCAAGAAGAAUGCUCAUUGCGAAGGCAGCCUACUAGAGCAUAACUGACGCUGAUGCGCGAAAGCGUGGGGAGCAAACAGGAUUAGAUACCCCUGUAGUC
This 440-nucleotide ribosomal RNA is filed under the name uncultured bacterium. Its description in RNAcentral is "partial 16S ribosomal RNA". It matches the Rfam family "Bacterial small subunit ribosomal RNA", at positions 338 to 795 of the family's 1533-position model. The record is from RNAcentral.